Molecule: long non-coding RNA, 4989 nt
Filed under: Ovis aries (sheep)
Lineage: Eukaryota; Metazoa; Chordata; Mammalia; Artiodactyla; Bovidae
Description: lncRNA (ENSOARG00000026832.1)
Source: RNAcentral
AUGAGGAAAUCAGAUAAAGAUUGUGGUGGAGCUGGCAGGGUGGACCCGGCCUUUGCACUUGGGCAGACCUCUUCCUGCAGGAGGUGGCGGCGGCAGUGCCUGGGUCUGUCCAGAGUCCGGCCCGCCCCCGGCCUGACCCGGAGGGGUGGGGAGCUGGGCGGGGCGGCCGAGGCUCUCGGGCACGUGUGUCCCCGCGGUGGCGCGAGCACUUGGGAGNNNNNNNNNNNNNNNNNNNNNNNNNNNNNNNNNNNNNNNNNNNNNNNNNNNNNNNNNNNNNNNNNNNNNNNNNNNNNNNNNNNNNNNNNNNNNNNNNNNNUGCGCGCGGGGUGGCGACUCGGCCGGCGCCGGGCAGGCAGAGCGGCGCGCGCGGCUGGCCGAGAAGGCACGGCUCCGAACCCCUGUGAGAGCUCCGGCGGGUCCGUGGUCAAGCUCGGGCUCCAACGGAGUUCGAUCGCGGGGAAUGUGGACGGAUACCCCGGAGCUCCCUGCAGCUCGGUCCAGGCCUGUGCAUUCAUGAGUGAGGAACCUGAGCUGGAGCUGAGCAUCCUGACAGCAAGAGCAGGGGCUGGUCAGGUAUGGGCGCGAGAGGGUGGGGUCCACUGCCUGGGAAGCUGGGAGGCCGGGGCAGGCAGGCUCGUGCAUGUGUAUACAUUGACCUGGGGGUAAAUCAAGGGGACCCAUGCCCUGCUACCCAAGCUGUGAUGAAUUCAGGCUUCAGAGCCAGAUAGCCCUGGGUAUCAAAUCCAGUUUUUCCAAUACUUGGCAGUGUGACCUUAAACAAGUAGCCUAACUUCUAUGGCAGUAUCUGCUGAGGAAUGUGGUCAGGAAUGAAAUGAGGGUGCUGCAGGGGAAGCUGCUCAACCCAGACUUGGUCCCUACAAAGUGAAGAGGGUGGCAGUCCAGAAUCAGGAGCUCCUGACCCCGUGACCUGAGCCAGAGAGGUGUCAGAUAGAGGAAUGUAGAUCAGACAGCUGACCCAUCUUCAGAAUCCCUGGGUCCAGUUUCCUUCCCUCUGGCUCUUCCCUGAUCUGUCCAGAGAAGGGCAGGGUUCUUGAAAAAAGAGCCAGUGCAGGGGUCUACCUGGGGCAGGAGCAGGCCUCAGGUGGACUGGGCCCCUGGAGAGCUGGUGUGACCCCUGGCCACCUAGGGUCAGCAGCUGAACAAUCCUUCAGUGUCAUUGUCCGCUGAAAGGAGACCAAUAUCGUAAAGCUUAGCCUGCUCUGGGCUCCCAUAGCCUCUUGAGGUUGCUUCACUCAUUCCUUCGUUCUCUCAUUCAUGUCAUGCCUGCUUUGGAUCAGGCCUUUAGCUGGAGGACAGGGCCAGAGAAAAGAAUCAGAUAGGAGUUCCUGGAAUGUGUUGGGAUAGAGGGUGGAGACACAAAUCCCCAGCAGGAUGUAUGGAAUGCCCUGGGGGGUUAGUGAAGCAGGGAAAGAGCCUUGGAGAUAAGAUGAGAUUUGAGAAGAGUCUUGAGGGAUGGGUGGAGUGCCUUGUGAGUGGGUCAGGAAAGGCUUUCCAGACAGCAGCAACAGUGGCACACAAAGCCUGUCAGGGCUCUCACACGGCUCACGGCUCCCACCACACUCAGAGCGCUUGAGGUCAGGGCCAGCCAGAACCAGGCACAGAGGGGAAGCUGAGUGGUGCUGGACCAAGUUAGGUGGGAGCUGGUCCCGGGCUGCUGGGAGUGAGGCCCCAAGGGUAUCAGGGGUCAGGAGGGGCAGUAGGAAGGGCCGAGGGAGAGGACUGAAGACUUGGCCUGCUCGGUAAGCAGGAGCCGGUCAGAGGGGUGGGGAGGGAAGUUGUACGCACAAGCUGGCGGGCCGGACUGUGGAGGGAGAGGGCAGGCGGGGUCAGUCUGGACAGGGUCUGUGAUGAUAGAGUCCCUAGCUGCCUUGGGAGGGUGGAGGCCAGGAUGUCUUAAAACAGGUGGAAAGAGCAGCUCCCUUGGUUCAUGAGAGACGUACUGAAGUUUCCACCCCUGCAUCGGGGUCAGACUCCACUGUGAGUAAUUACCGAGGAACUCUGUAACCAGCUAUGGAUGUUGACAUGAAGGGAAGAUGAAGGCCCUGACUCUCGCUCUGAGGAGUGACCUGCCAGGCCUCAGCACUGGGGCAGGAGCAGAGCAGCGGUGUGGAGGUGGGGCUGGGGCGGGGGGGCACCCUGAGCACGCCCAGUGGUCACAGCACCUAAUGAGGGAAGUGUUGGCAUCACAGUGCUACCAGGCCAGGGGAUUCAGCACCCGGGAGGUAUGACCCUCAGGAGGGCAGGAAAUUCCUGAGGUCACCUAGGGCUCUGUGGCAGAGCUGGACACCCCAAGCCAGUGUCCCCCGGGGAGUGUGGCCCUCCAUAGACCCUCAGCCUCGCACCUGGGCCUCCAGGCUCCUUCUGCAGCUCCUGUGAGCUAGCAACCUCUGCCUACCUCUCAGUGCUUCAGAUCUGGUGAUCCCAGCCCAUGACACCCCUUUGGGGCACCCCACACUUACCGUGUCUGACACUGAGUUCCCUCUCCUCCUGACCCCUGAACCUGAGGCGUCCUGGCCCCUCCUCCACCCAGACUCCCUCCUAAACAGCUCUCAGACCUCUCCCCUCAUGAGGUCCCCAGGCCUGGCCCCAGCAUGGGGUGUCACUGCCUUGGCCCACCACGUUCACCUGCUCCACAACCUCCAGGACCUUCUGUUGCUCCUCUGCUCGUGGUCUGAGAGGGCUUCCCAAAGAGGUCAGGAGAAGGCCACAGCUGAGCUGAGCCUCAAAGCUUGUAACAUAGUGUGCCCACCGUGUGCCAAGCGUGGCUCCAAAGGUUUUAAACAAAUUGCUCCCCUAACCCUCACAAGCAGGCCUGUGACGUAGAUUUUGUUGAUCACCUCAUUUGUCCCCUCACAGAUGAGGAGACAAAGGCAGCCUGGGUCCAGAGGCCAGCUUCUUCCUAAUCACUGGAUUAGGAUAAAGAGUUGUCAUUUCAACAGAUGGAGAUGCCGGGCAUGCAGGGAUUCCAGUCUGAAGGAGUAACGUGAAGCAUGGCUGAGAGGGGAAAUGUGUUGGGUGCAUUCAGGAAAUGGCAGGUCACGGGGGAUGCGGAUGGUGAUAGAAGCUGGGUUAUACAAACCGCUGGUACUAGCCUGAGGAGCUGGGUUUUCUCCUGAGAUCAGACAGGAGCCACAGCAGGUUUCCAGCAGAGGAAUGACUUUCUCUUUUCCAAAGAUCCCUCUGGAUGGAGGGGACUGAGGCUGGAGACAGGGAGACCGAUAGAGGGGCUCUAGCAGCAAGGGUGGAGGUGACACGGCUGCAAGGAGCUGGGUGGGAUGCAGGAAAUGCUUUAAUGCCGGUUCCUGAGUCAACAGGGGUCCUAGCAGCUUGGCCCUGCCAGUGGCCCCUAAUCUCAUACGUACCUUCUCAUCCUGUAUCUCCCCUGGCUCCUUGGGGAGGAACCUGUGUCCGUGGGAGCAAGGUCAUGAGGGCAGGUUCCCUGUCUCCUAGUUGUAUCUUUGCUGACAGUAGCAGUCAGGGAAGAUAGAGGAGGGAGAGUUUGGGGGAAAGAAGGGAGCUGAAGAGCCAAUUGUCCCUCAGCCACUCUGAUCUCAACUUCAUGGGCCCUGAGCUGCUUUUGGGAGGCCUGGCUGGGCGGGAAUCUCAGCAUCUAAGGGAAUGGAUAUCAUUGGCCCCAUAGAAUCUCUGAGUCCCAGCCUCUCAGAAUCCUGGGGUUCCAAAAUAGGAGGGAUUACACAGCCCCAGAUUCUCAGGGUGAGGAGGACUCACACAUCAUCUGCCUUCUGUGUCCUCCCAGACACACCCACACACAGGGCACAAGCCCUCUGCACUCACUAGGGAGCCACUUGCACAGCCCCAUAAUUGGGGAGUUCUGCUAUGACUCCCAGCCUGCCUUCUGAGACCUUUGGGCACAUCUUUGCCCUCCAGACUGGGAUAGUCUGAGAGAGCUCUUCUUGGUCACAUUGGAGAGAUGGGGGGAGGAGUAAGGUCGCAUCCUGAUCUCCAGGUGCUCUCUGUCUGGGUGAGGCGCCAUAGCUGCAUUAUAUGCUCACUGGGAACAAGGAGAAGGUCGAGGUGGUGGUGAUGUAUGGAGAGAAGCAGGGCAGGCCUAGAGGAAGCUAAGUUUGCCCCACAGAAGUUCCCCAUUACCCUUAUUCCCAUCUCCACCCCAGACUUGCCUGCAAUCUUUAGGAAGGUCACUGCUCCAUCUGGUGGCCUCAGAGGCCAGGGAACAGGACUGCUGUUUACAGAUGCAGAAAGUACCAGAAUAUAGGAGUUCCUAAAAAAUAUUUGCUGAAGAGGUGACUGAAUAACUAAAGAGGGAGACCCUUACAAAACUCCCUCAAAUGCCAAAAUACUAGGCACACGGCCGGAGCCUCCCAGAGAAUGGAAAGACAGGCCAAAUAAAAGAACUUCCUAAUGCCUCCAGAAAGGUAUGAGCUGCCCUAGGCAGACUCCUAGAUCUGGAACUCUAUUCCUGAGGUUCUCAAACACCAAAAAAAGAAAAAAAAAUUUUUAAGGCAACAUGCUAAGUAUUUUAGGCUUUGAGGAAUAUAUGGUCUUUGCCACAACUAUUCAGUGCUGCAGAAACAGAUGGUCAUGGCUGUGUUCCAAUAAAGCUUUAUUUACAGAAACAGACUGGUGGGCUGGAUUUGUCCCUCAGUUUGCCUACCCCCUUUAAAUUGUUAGAAUUAUAAAGGUCCCAGGGUUCCAAGGUUCUGGGCCCUCUGUGUCCACAGAGAGGGGCAGAUCAGAUGCAAUAAAAGCCUUGAAUGUGGUUGGGCAGAUCCCAACGGAGGUGUCUGUAGUCACCUGGGGUCCCUCGUGGCCUGGGUCAGGCGGGUGUGUCAGGCCUCCCUGCUGGGGCCCCGGCAGUCCAUGACCCUGAUGGUUGUUCUCUCCACCCCCACCCCACCCCACCCCACCCCACCCCACCCCCAUCCCUGCUUCCCUUCCUGGCCCUGGCCACAGCCCCGGACCCCCGCGAUAGCACCGCCACCUGACCGC